GCCUCUCCCCGCCAACCCUGCCCGGAGCGCCAGCGAUGCCCUCUGCCCGCGGGGACCCGAGCCUCGCGCGCCCUCCGCCCUCCCUACCCUGGCCCCUGUACCCAUCACACCUGGGGCACUGCCGUCCGCCGAGCUUGGGCGCGCGGCGGCGAGAAGGCACUGGAGGAGGAGAAGCAGCCGGGGCGUAGGUGGCCCGGCACCCGCAGCCAGUGCCGCGGGCAGGACGCUGAAGAAAAGGCGGAAUGGGAGGGGCCCGGCCGCCUUGCCCUACUCCCCGAGACGCUCUUACCGCGCCCGGCCUUCCAUCAGUUAUGCAGCCCUCAGCCCGCUGCUGGCGUUCCCGGAUGUGCGGUGCUACUCCCGGCUGCAGCCUCUCCGGCCUCCGCCCUCUAGGCUCUAGCAGGUCGGGAGAGAGCUUGGGCAGGUGAUGUGUAGCCCAUCGCGUGGGGAGAGGUUGAAACUAUCCCUGCAGACUGGCCUUUGCACUUCAUCUGAGGCAGAUUUCACUAAUUUUCGUUGAUGGGACAGAUGAGAGACACUUUCCUCCUCCCCGACCCCGGACAUCUUUGGGCUUUCUUAUGAGGGAGGCUUAUUUUUGCGCAGGUGUAAGGUUUUAUCCAGCUGCCAGACAACUUGUACUGAUCUUUCUUUGCUUUGCCUACUAAUCACACACACCCUCUCUUCUAGCCUGUGAAGACUUAACUGAUUUUCUACGGAUGAAGGUUUCAGUGUCCCAAGGCCCCAUACCGUAUCUGAUUUUACUUUAUUUUUGUUUGUUAAGCCUAACAGCUUCUGAGGAGCCACGUAGAGCUCAAGAAGCAAAAGCUACUGAGAGUAGAUGCUAUGUAAACUGCACAAGACGUUGACCUUUGUUAAAUCCGAACACUGUUUAAGAUAAUGCUAUCUCUUACCCACGAGGCUGUAGCUUGGAAUAUUCAGUGCUCUGAACCAAAUUAAAUAAAUUAGUGCUUUAUCCGGGAGGGGAGGAGAAAUCUAUGUUGUAACAUUGAAACACAUUGAUUUGAUUUCUCUCCAGGAUGUUAUAACGCAUUAAAAGAUAUUUUAAAUAUUUUUCACGAGCUUUGUUUCCUCUCCCUUUAUUUUUUGAAGUUCAGCUUUCACAUUCGUAAAU
RNAcentral lists this long non-coding RNA (1132 nucleotides) under Homo sapiens (human). RNAcentral's name for it is "non-protein coding lnc-FAM72B-8:10". Lineage: Eukaryota; Metazoa; Chordata; Mammalia; Primates; Hominidae. The record is from RNAcentral.